Molecule: ribosomal RNA, 644 nt
Filed under: uncultured Actinomycetes bacterium
Lineage: Bacteria; Bacillati; Actinomycetota; Actinomycetes
Description: bacterial SSU rRNA
Rfam family: Bacterial small subunit ribosomal RNA
Source: RNAcentral
CGCGGCCUAUCAGCUUGUUGGUGGGGUGAUGGCCUACCAAGGCGACGACGGGUAGCCGGCCUGAGAGGGUGUCCGGCCACACUGGGACUGAGAUACGGCCCAGACUCCUACGGGAGGCAGCAGUGGGGAAUAUUGCACAAUGGGCGCAAGCCUGAUGCAGCGACGCCGCGUGGGGGAUGACGGCCUUCGGGUUGUAAACCUCUUUCAGUAGGGACGAAGCGCAAGUGACGGUACCUACAGAAGAAGCACCGGCCAACUACGUGCCAGCAGCCGCGGUAAUACGUAGGGUGCGAGCGUUGUCCGGAAUUACUGGGCGUAAAGAGCUCGUAGGUGGUUUGUCGCGUUGUUCGUGAAAACUCACAGCUUAACUGUGGGCGUGCGGGCGAUACGGGCAGACUGGAGUACUGCAGGGGAGACUGGAAUUCCUGGUGUAGCGGUGGAAUGCGCAGAUAUCAGGAGGAACACCGGUGGCGAAGGCGGGUCUCUGGGCAGUAACUGACGCUGAGGAGCGAAAGCGUGGGGAGCGAACAGGAUUAGAUACCCUGGUAGUCCACGCCGUAAACGGUGGGUACUAGGUGUGGGGUUUCCUUCCUUGGGAUCCGUGCCGUAGCUAACGCAUUAAGUACCCCGCCUGGGGAGUACGG